AGUGAACGCUGGCGGUAGGCCUAACACAUGCAAGUCGAACGGCAGCACAGCAAGAGCUUGCUCUUACGGGUGGCGAGUGGCGGACGGGUGAGGAAUACAUCGGAAUCUACUUUUUCGUGGGGGAUAACGUAGGGAAACUUACGCUAAUACCGCAUACGACCUACGGGUGAAAGCAGGGGAUCUUCGGACCUUGCGCGACUGAAUGAGCCGAUGUCGGAUUAGCUAGUUGGCGGGGUAAAGGCCCACCAAGGCGACGAUCCGUAGCUGGUCUGAGAGGAUGAUCAGCCACACUGGAGCUGAGACACGGUCCAGACUCCUACGGGAGGCAGCAGUGGGGAAUAUUGGACAAUGGGCGCAAGCCUGAUCCAGCCAUACCGCGUGGGUGAAGAAGGCCUUCGGGUUGUAAAGCCCUUUUGUUGGGAAAGAAAAGCAGCAGGUUAAUACCCCGCUGUUCUGACGGUACCCAAAGAAUAAGCACCGGCUAACUUCGUG
RNAcentral lists this ribosomal RNA (492 nucleotides) under uncultured bacterium. Its description in RNAcentral is "partial 16S ribosomal RNA". It matches the Rfam family "Bacterial small subunit ribosomal RNA", at positions 29 to 507 of the family's 1533-position model. The record is from RNAcentral.